RNAcentral lists this ribosomal RNA (400 nucleotides) under uncultured bacterium. Its description in RNAcentral is "bacterial SSU rRNA". It matches the Rfam family "Bacterial small subunit ribosomal RNA", at positions 355 to 772 of the family's 1533-position model. The record is from RNAcentral.
UCGGGAAUUUUGGGCAAUGGGCGAAAGCCUGACCCAGCAACGCCGCGUGAAGGACGAAGUCUUUCGGGAUGUAAACUUCGUAAGAAUGGGAAGAAUAAAUGACGGUACCAUUUGUAAGCCCCGGCUAACUACGUGCCAGCAGCCGCGGUAAUACGUAGGGGGCAAGCGUUGUUCGGAUUUACUGGGCGUAAAGGGCGCGUAGGCGGCGUGACAAGUCAGUUGUGAAAUCUCUGAGCUUAACUCAGAACGGUCAACUGAUACUGUUGUGCUAGAGUGCAGAAGGGGCAACCGGAAUUCUUGGUGUAGCGGUGAAAUGCGUAGAUAUCAAGAGGAACACCUGAGGUGAAGACGGGUUGCUGGGCUGACACUGACGCUGAGGCGCGAAAGCUAGGGUAGCAAA